Molecule: ribosomal RNA, 592 nt
Filed under: Wolbachia sp.
Lineage: Bacteria; Pseudomonadati; Pseudomonadota; Alphaproteobacteria; Rickettsiales; Anaplasmataceae
Description: bacterial SSU rRNA
Rfam family: Bacterial small subunit ribosomal RNA
Source: RNAcentral
AUUAGAUGAGCCUAUAUUAGAUUAGCUAGUUGGUGGAGUAAUAGCCUACCAAGGCAAUGACCUAUAGCUGAUCUGAGAGGAUGAUCAGCCACACUGGAACUGAGAUACGGUCCAGACUCCUACGGGAGGCAGCAGUGGGGAAUAUUGGACAAUGGGCGAAAGCCCGAUCCAGCCAUGCCGCAUGAGUGAAGAAGGCCUUUGGGUUGUAAAGCUCUUUUAGUGAGGAAGAUAAUGACGGUACUCACAGAAGAAGUCCUGGCUAACUCCGUGCCAGCAGCCGCGGUAAUACGGAGAGGGCUAGCGUUAUUCGGAAUUAUUGGGCGUAAAGGGCGCGUAGGCUGAUUAAUAAGUUAAAAGUGAAAUCCCGAGGCUUAACCUUGGAAUUGCUUUUAAAACUAUUAAUCUAGAGAUUGAAAGAGGAUAGAGGAAUUCCUGAUGUAGAGGUAAAAUUCGUAAAUAUUAGGAGGAACACCAGUGGCGAAGGCGUCUAUCUGGUUCAAAUCUGACGCUGAAGCGCGAAGGCGUGGGGAGCAAACAGGAUUAGAUACCCUGGUAGUCCACGCUGUAAACGAUGAAUGUUAAAUAUGGGAAG